CGAUGUAAUGCAUUUGUGAAUUUAGCAGUGUAAAAUAAUCCAAAUGUAAUGAUUUUUUUAUAAAAAUUUUUUUACUAUUUAGAGUAAGAUUAGUACCUAUGAUAUUAAAUUCAAGUCUUUUAUUAUCAUUUUUUAUGAGAUUUUUUAUUUUCAGUAGUUUAUUUUUAGAUUACUCAUUUGAUUGCUAAAUGAUGUCGGAAAAUUAUAAAAUUUAGUUUCCAAAUACUCGUUUGUUUGCUCAAUUCUUUCUCUCUCUCUCUCUCUCUUGUGUUUUAUUAGAAACACGCAUAAGCCAUUUUCAAUUAUGGUGAUUCUGAAUCGACGAUCGGCUCCGUUAGACUUGAUCUAGUAUAUUUGAAGUAUCUAAAAAAUAGAUUUUGUAGUAAUUAUAUAUAUAGAGAGAGAGAGAGGGGGGGAGAGAGAAUCCGGCUACUGUACUAUUGCUAGUACCAAACUCUUGAUAUUAUCGAGUUUUCUAUCAUUAGAUCUACCCUUUGAUCAUUUUCAUCGGUUAAAUUAUACUAUACAAUCAACCACCCACUCAACCUAACCGCAUAUCCUUUCAUCCAACAGCCGAAAACUCGAUAGUACCAACCACUUGGUACUAUCGAUAGU
RNAcentral lists this long non-coding RNA (615 nucleotides) under Ananas comosus (pineapple). Its description in RNAcentral is "long non-coding RNA (ACOM_LNC041203)". Lineage: Eukaryota; Viridiplantae; Streptophyta; Magnoliopsida; Poales; Bromeliaceae. The record is from RNAcentral.